ACAAAGUGAUUUUUUUGGAGCAAAAACAGUCAAAUUUUAUGAACUUUUAUUUUCUAAAUUUUUUAUUCGAAAAUAAAAAUUAUUAAAAUAAUAUUUUUCUUUAAUUUUUUUUUUUUGAGAAAUAGGUAGCAUGCUACCCGUUUCGUUUACUUCAUUUAGAAAUAAACUUAGUUAGAAAUAUGAAUCGACUAGAAUUCGAACUUGAGAUCUCGAGUACCAACCAUCAAGCCCUUUACCACUUGCGCUAGAGAUGGUCGGUUCAUUAAAAACUUUUUCUAAAAAAUUAAUGUUUUAUAGUU
RNAcentral lists this long non-coding RNA (299 nucleotides) under Ananas comosus (pineapple). RNAcentral's name for it is "long non-coding RNA (ACOM_LNC043900)". Lineage: Eukaryota; Viridiplantae; Streptophyta; Magnoliopsida; Poales; Bromeliaceae. The record is from RNAcentral.